AAACACCUCAGCUUUGUGAAAGAUGGCAGGUUAGAGUCACAGUGCAAAAGGCCACUGGAUCAAAUACCAAAGCACUGUGACUAACAGGUGACUUUAUGAUGAAUCACAAUGUUUGUAGUUCAGGAGGAUGUCACAGUCAAAUCUCAUGCUUAGUGGAUUCAUCACCAUGUGUGGGGGCAGAAACUACUUCCACUCUUACCUUCCAUACUGCAUAACUGCCAGAUAGACAACUUCUGCCUCACACUUAAGGCCCCAAAGGAACAAGAAUAAAAGCAAUACUUAGAUUAUCAGGAACUACAAUGCCAAUGAAGGAAUGACAACCAUCAUUGUUGUCAACAACAUGUCAACAACAUCAACAAAUAGAAAGCAUUCCUCCAUUCAUCACUCCUUCUGGGAACAAAAGAAGCCAGAGUCUUUAGAGUACACACUCCGUACUUCCAUUAAAUAAAUUUCAACAACAGGUAAAAAGUACUAUGUCUGAUAAAAGUAGUGCAAAUAGUAGCUCCCUUUAAAAGGGAAGAUAAUGGGUAGAAAUUGAAAGAGGGCAUGAGGGGCUUCCAAGGUGCUAGUAAUGUUUAUUUUCUGAUCAUUUUGGUGGUCACAUGGGUAUGUUCACUUUACUUUUUGUGUACUUCAAUUAAAAAUUCAUUUUAAAAAAUAUGUAUGACUUUGGAAUCAGAAAAUCUUAGGUUGAAAUAUCAGGUCUGGCACUACCUAGCUUCAAUUUUAGCAUACAUGCUGCCAGCACCUUCCUUGCUUCAUUAUAUUGGACAAGUAACUUAGGCUUUCUGAAUCUCAGAUCUCUCAUCUAUGAAUAGGCAUAGUAAUUAUGCCUACUUCAUAGGAAUAUUAUGCACAUUAACUUAAAUAACGUGCCAGUAACUUAAUAAAUGGUAGUCAUAGUAGCUGGAAAUGGUAGAAGUCUUUCUGGGGGAAAGAGUGGAAUGAGAAAAGUUAUGAAAACCAUAGAACAAGGAGGCACUGACGAGACCCUCUGCUCAGUUCAAAGUUCCUCCAAUGGGGCUGGAUGUUGAAUUCAUGCCCAUUUGAGGUGGCAGCAGUAAUCCUUUUGUAAUCACUUUAUACCCCCAACUUACACAGUCAACAUUUCUUGAAGCAAUAAAUUUUCAUCCUCUAAGUUGCUUCAGGAAGUUUAACUUGGCAAAGUUCACCUACAGUUGUAUUAGGCUCUCAAUCUUUCUUCUCUGGGCUCAUAUAUUAGAGGUCCGUGUUCUCACUGUUGUUUUUUGUUUUUUGUUUUUUGUUUUUUCCAGGUCAAAGCAUGUAUCUUGCAACCUUCUUUGAAUAAGGCUCAGUGCAAAGCUGGGGCCAGUGACCUUGACCUUCCUUCAUCCCUAUCUAUCAAGGAUUUUUUGUGAGCAUAAGAGGCAGCAACUUUACUUGUAUUUCAUUUCAUAGCUUAAUUAUAUCUACAUGCAAUUAGAAAACAUAUGGUAAGGCAUAUUUGUGAAGGUCACAAAAUCUAGUAGAGCUGGAAUGCCAGGAUUUGAUUCCAACUUCUGCCACUUACUAACUGCGGAACCUUAGGCAAGUCACUGAACCCCUAAGUUUCCUCAGCUGUAAAACAAUAAUAAACAGAGUCUACAGGUCACAGAUUUCUAUGAGAAUUAAAUUAGUUAACAAAAUAAAGCACUAAGAACUGUGCCUGGUACAUAAAAUAUACUGCAUGAGGGUUAGCUAUCACCACAAUAAGUAGGCAAGUUACCAACACCUUAAACGCUGAGUUAGAACAAAUCUAAAAACUCUAUGCUGGCCAGGCGCGAUGGCUCACACCUGUAAUCCCAGCACUUUGGGAGGCCAAGGUGGGCAGAUCACCUGAGGUCAGGAGUUCUAGACCAGCCUGGCCAACAUGGUGCAACCCCAUCUCUACUAAAAAUACAAAAAUUAGCAGGGUGUGGUGGUGGGCGCCCGUAAUCCCAGUUACUCAGGAGGCAGAGGCAGGAGAAUCGCUUGAGCCCACAAGGCAGAGGUUGCAGUGAGCUGAGAUCACACUACGGCACUCCAGCCUAGGCAACAGACAGAGCAAAACUCCAUCUCAAAAAUAAAUUAACAAACAAACAAAAACUGUAUAUUUAAGACCUACCUUUACUUAUUGAAGGAGGCCACUUCAAAAUGGUAAUGCUCCUUUCCUGUCUAGGUUCCCCAUACUUAGGGUACCCCAGACCCACCAAACCACACAGUGCCAGGCCUCUUUGUCUCCUAUAAUCUAUUCCUCCUUAAAAACCCAGCUAGAGAUUUUCUCUUCUACCCUACCAAGUAAAGAAUGUGCCCGCUUUCCUUUGCAUGCCUAUCUCUUAGAAUAUUAAUCCCAUAAAUUAUAAUUUCCCCAAAGAGACACUGAUCUUCAAGGGUAUGACUGUGUUUUUCUUAUUACUUAAUACCUAGAACUGUAUUUUGCACAUAUUAGAAACUUGACAAAAUUAAGAAACCCAAAGGACAUUCAAAUUCUUUCUCCCAAUUUAAAAAUUAUGGGUACAGGGACAAGAGUGGAGUUGGAAAACGUCAGUCACCCUAAUAAACAAGGCACAUUUAAUAAACAGGAUACGCAUCUCUAUUUUCUUCCCCAUCCCCAGAUAAUUGUUUUUGAGUGAUGAACCAAAAAAAAAAAAACCUAAUAAAUGCACAAGUUUAUAAUUUGAGAAACUAGCGUGACAAAAAUGAGGUCAUCCCAUGGAUGUCAUAAAAUAAGCAUGACUUUCUUCUCUCAAUUCUUUUACUUAUUGCCCAUAUAAUUAAAUACAGUUGUAAUUUAAUUCUGUUGGCUGUUAUUUCAUGCUCACAACAAAACAUUUCUCUCUCUCUCUUCCUUAAGUUUGUGUAGAUGAUUUUAUUCCCAUGAGCAUCAAAGAGCAGGGUUUAACAAUGAAAUGUUGAAAACAAUCAAAACUUACAAAGAAGUUUAUCUGACACACUCAAUGACAGGCAUAAUUAUCAUUGUGUUGCAUGGUAAUUAGGUAUAAAAGGCAAACAGUUCCUUUAAAUGUCUCUAAUUAGUACUGCUCUUAAAUCUUCAAACCAAGUAGUUGAGGAGUCAGCGGCAGGGAAACCUGCUCCUAUAACACAAUGCUCCUCAAUGGUGGCUUCAUAUGAGAAUCAGCAGGGGAGCUUUUAAUAUACAUAUAUAUAUAUACGCACCUAUAAUCCAUAUGCCCAGGGCUCUUGCCUCAAAUCAAUUUAGUUAGAAUACCUGGGGGUUAGACCCAGGCAUCAGUACUUCUUAUUACAGGUGAUUACAAUGUAAACUUAAGAUUAAGGAUUACAGCUGUAAACAACAACAUGGAAGAGAGUUGAAGUUGUCCCUUCCCUCUAUAUUUCCACAGCACUAGGAACAUGCUCUACUGAAGGCUCAUCAAUUAAUCAAUCAAUUAGGUAAUUAACAAGUAUUGAUUAACAAUGAUCAAUUAAUGUUUGUUACAAGAAUUUGACAUAGCUUGUUCUCUUCUGCAAUAUAAUACACAAGUGAGAAAAUCCCUACUCUCCUCUCCCUCCUCCCAGCAUUCUGUCUGGAACCUGAAACGUGGCCUGGCACCUAGAAACAUGCUGUCAAGUUAGCCUCAGUGUGUGAACUUUUUUUUAAUUUUAAUAAAAUAUACAUAACAUAAAAUGUAUCAUUUUAACCAUUUAUAAGUGAACAGUUUAGUAGCAAUAAGUAUAUUCUCAUUGUUUUACAACCAUCACCACCAUCUAUCUCCAGAAUCUUCCCAAACUGGAACUCUGUACCUAUUAUAUAUUCCCUGGGUCUCCUCACCCCUCCUGCUCCUGGCAAUCUCCAUUCUAAUUUCUGUCUCGAUGAAUUUGACGAUUCGAGGUACCUCAUAUAAAUGGAAUCCUGCAUUUGUCUUUUUAAGUCUGGCUAAUGUCUGCAAGCUUCAUUCCUGCUGUAGUAUGUGUCAGAGUUCCUCUGUAAGGCUGAAUAAUAUCCCAUUGCAUGUAUAUACUACAUUUUGUUUCUCCAUUCAUCUGUUGACGGACACGGGGUUGUUUCUGCUUUUUGGCUACUAUGAAUAACACUGCUAUAAGCAUGGAUGUACAAGAUUUUUUAUGCAUGGCUUUACCUACCCGGCAUAGCCAAUAUUCCUAAACAGGAAUCUCACACCAGAGAAGCAAAAGGCUUGGUGAAUGAGGAGUGAGGACCUGUGACUUGCUCCUCAUCAACAAAACACAGCAAUGAUGACGGAAGGCCAUUCCUGGGUAGGUUAUAUAAGACUUCAUCUUAGUUAACUGUAAAGGGCUUAUCCAGCUGAGUCUGAAGAAGUAAGCUGCCAUGCUAUGAGAGGGCCUGUGAGAGGGACGCAAGGCAGGAACUCUAGGCAGCCUCUAGGAGCUGAGAGCAGCCCCAGCUGACAGCUAGCAAGAAAAUGGGGACCUCAGCCCUACAACCACAAGGAAUUGAAUUUGGCCAACAAUCACGUAAGCUGGGAAGAGGACCUCUUCCUGUAGAAAGCUCUAGAAAUGAACACGGCCAGUUGACCCUUUGACUGCAGCCUUGUGGCUGACGUCAGAGAAGAUGACUUAAAUAAGUCACACCUGGACUCUUGG
This 4560-nucleotide long non-coding RNA is filed under the name Homo sapiens (human). Its description in RNAcentral is "HSALNT0074293". The record is from RNAcentral. Lineage: Eukaryota; Metazoa; Chordata; Mammalia; Primates; Hominidae.